AGGAGUCGUUCUCCCUCUGUUUUAUAUGUGGACAUUUGGGACCACUGUUAGAAUUUGGUCGACCACUUGACAUGUGAGAGCCUGAGGAGUUGUUCCCCCUCUGUCCAUGUUCGAGGACUUGCCCUCUGUCUGCCUCCACUCUCUGCCUUCACUGUACCAAAGUUUGUCUGUUGAGUCUCCUCUAGUCUGGUUGACCACAUGACAUAUGAGAGCCUGAGGAGUUGUUUUCCAGACACAGGUAGAGCUGGCAGGGGCGUCCCCCUGGGCCUGCCCUUUUGGGCUGGGCUUCAGCUGCAGAUCUAAAGGCUGCUUCCAGGGGCAUGGGGCCCUCAGCCUUUGUUUUUCUUUGCUUCUGCACCUUACAACAUACAUCACACCUUAUUUUCACACAUCCAAACACCGUUAACACCACUGACGCGUAACAUAUUUUACACAU
Molecule: long non-coding RNA, 436 nt
Organism: Pleuronectes platessa (European plaice)
Lineage: Eukaryota; Metazoa; Chordata; Actinopteri; Pleuronectiformes; Pleuronectidae
Exons: 3
Source: RefSeq, a predicted model, not a curated record